RNAcentral lists this long non-coding RNA (216 nucleotides) under Elaeis guineensis (African oil palm). RNAcentral describes it as "long non-coding RNA (EGUI_LNC041066)". The record is from RNAcentral. Lineage: Eukaryota; Viridiplantae; Streptophyta; Magnoliopsida; Arecales; Arecaceae.
UUGACCCGUCUUUCUGUUUAUGGCCGUUGAUUUGUCCGGGACCACUCGGGUUUGACGCCUCCUUUCAGAGUUCAAGCUUGGAGGUCCGAGCUUAUCGUCGCCCUGAGGAAGCCGCCUUAUCUCUGGCUCGUGUUGAGAGCUUUCUUGAAGGUCGGGGAUUUUGAUAAGAACCCCAAUCCUCGCUGAGACGAGGUUCCUUGCAUUUUUGAUGCAAUU